ACGUAAUAGAUACCCGGGUAGUCCACGCCCUAAACGAUGUCUACUAGUUGUUGGUGGAGUAAAAUCCAUGAGUAAACGCAGCUAAACGCGUGAAGUAGACCGCCUGGGGAGUACGGUCGCAAGAUUAAAACUCAAAUGAAUUGACGGGGGCCCGCACAAGCGGUGGAUUAUGUGGAUUAAAUUCGAUGCAACGCGAAAAACCUUACCUGGCCUUGACAUGUAACGAACUUUCCAGAGAUGGAUUGGUGCUCGAAAGAGAACGUUAACACAGGUGCUGCAUGGCUGUCGUCAGCUCGUGUCGUGAGAUGUUGGGUUAAGUCCCGCAACGAGCGCAACCCUUGCCAUUAAUUGCCAUCAUUUAGUUGGGCACUUUAAUGGGACUGCCGGUGACAAACCGGAGGAAGGUGGGGAUGACGUCAAGUCCUCAUGGCCCUUAUGGCCAGGGCUUCACACGUAAUACAAUGGUCGGUACAGAGGGUUGCCAACCCGCGAGGGGAGCC
Molecule: ribosomal RNA, 500 nt
Filed under: uncultured bacterium
Lineage: Bacteria
Description: bacterial SSU rRNA
Rfam family: Bacterial small subunit ribosomal RNA
Source: RNAcentral